RNAcentral lists this ribosomal RNA (108 nucleotides) under Neogale vison (American mink). The record is from RNAcentral. Lineage: Eukaryota; Metazoa; Chordata; Mammalia; Carnivora; Mustelidae.
UCUACGGCCAUACCACCCUGAACGCGCCCAAUCUCGUCUGAUCUCGGAAGCUAAGCAGGGUCGGGCCUGGUUAGUACUUGGAUGGGAGAAACCAUAAAGUCAGAAGAA